This 89-nucleotide transfer RNA is filed under the name Fidelibacterota bacterium. Its description in RNAcentral is "tRNA-Gly". The record is from RNAcentral. Lineage: Bacteria; Pseudomonadati; Fidelibacterota.
GGCUUAAGUGUAUAUAUAUAGGCAUUUGAGAACGAGUGUCACCACCUUGCCAAGGUGGAUGUCGCGAGUUCGAACCUCGUCUCUCGCCC